This 253-nucleotide ribosomal RNA is filed under the name uncultured bacterium. RNAcentral's name for it is "partial 16S ribosomal RNA". It matches the Rfam family "Bacterial small subunit ribosomal RNA", at positions 524 to 776 of the family's 1533-position model. The record is from RNAcentral.
UACGAAGGGUGCAAACGUUGCUCGGAAUUAUUGGGCGUAAAGCGCACGUAGGCGGCUCUAUAAGUCGGAUGUGAAAUCCCUCGGCUUAACCGAGGACGUGCAUCCGAAACUGUGGAGCUUGAGUAUGGAAGAGGGUCGCAGAAUUCCCGGUGUAGAGGUGAAAUUCGUAGAUAUCGGGAGGAAUACCAGUGGCGAAGGCGGCUCGCUGGCUUCUUGCUGACGCUGAGAUGCGAAAGCGUGGGGAGCAAACAGG